RNAcentral lists this ribosomal RNA (467 nucleotides) under uncultured bacterium. Its description in RNAcentral is "partial 16S ribosomal RNA". It matches the Rfam family "Bacterial small subunit ribosomal RNA", at positions 29 to 507 of the family's 1533-position model. The record is from RNAcentral.
ACGAACGCUGGCGGCGUGCUUAACACAUGCCCGUCGAACGGAAAGGCCCUGCUUUUGUGGGGUGCUCGAGUGGCGAACGGGUGAGUAACACGUGAGUAACCUGCCCUUGACUUUGGGAUAACUUCAGGAAACUGGGGCUAAUACCGGAUAGGAGCUCCUGCUGCAUGGUGGGGGUUGGAAAGUUUCGGCGGUUGGGGAUGGACUCGCGGCUUAUCAGCUUGUUGGUGGGGUAGUGGCUUACCAAGGCUUUGACGGGUAGCCGGCCUGAGAGGGUGACCGGCCACAUUGGGACUGAGAUACGGCCCAGACUCCUACGGGAGGCAGCAGUGGGGAAUACUGCACAAUGGGCGGAAGCCUGAUGCAGCAACGCCGCGUGCGGGAUGACGGCCUUCGGGUUGUAAACCGCUUUCGCCUGUGACGAAGCGUGAGUGACGGUAAUGGGUAAAGAAGCACCGGCUAACUACGUG